UACGUAGGAGGCGAGCGUUGUCCGGAAUUACUGGGCGUAAAGAGCUCGUAGGCGGUUCGUCGCGUCGGCUGUGAAAACCCGGAGCUCAACUCCGGGCCUGCAGUCGAUACGGGCGGACUAGAGUUCGGCAGGGGAGACUGGAAUUCCUGGUGUAGCGGUGAAAUGCGCAGAUAUCAGGAAGAACACCCGUGGCUAAGGCGGCUCUCUAGUACGGUACUGACGCUGAGACGCGAAAGCGUGGGGAGCGAACAGG
Molecule: ribosomal RNA, 253 nt
Filed under: uncultured bacterium
Lineage: Bacteria
Description: partial 16S ribosomal RNA
Rfam family: Bacterial small subunit ribosomal RNA
Source: RNAcentral